Cyprinus carpio carpio is the source of this 1148-nucleotide long non-coding RNA. The record is from Ensembl. NCBI's taxonomy places the organism in Eukaryota, Metazoa, Chordata, Actinopteri, Cypriniformes, Cyprinidae.
UUUUGAUGGUUUUUGUAUCUGAAUGAGAAAGGAUUUAAUGUAAUGUGAAAGAUGUAAUAAAAUAUAUUUUGUUCCAAAGCAAUGAUAAAUGAUCCACAGCUUAGCCCACAUAGACUGCUGUUGUGCUCACUUUGUGAAAGAUAAAAAAAAAAAAAAAUGACCUAAGUAUUGAGAAAUGUGUCCUAGCGAUAGUAAAAUAAAUAAAAAAUAAAUGUAAUAAAUGACCAUCAGUUGAUUAGCUGGAGUAAAUAUGUGUGGAUGUGUUGUUGUAUGGCUACCAAUUGUUUUCAGUGUGUGUGAGAAUAUUGUUAACAUGGGGGAUUCCCAAACAUAGUUGCUUCCAUCCAUCAGCACAAACUUCCCUUCAUCAAGCGGCAGAAAAUAGAACAGUGCAUGAAUAUUUCAUAAAACCUUCACCUCCAACACACACACACACACACACACACACACACACACACUCAUAAAUACACUCAUUUGGAGUGACUUCAACAUAUUCAUCAAUAAUCAAAGCACACACACACAUUCAUUGACAGAGUCUUUGUUCAUCAAAAUGCCUGUGCGUGUGUAUUUGUGUGUGUGUGUCUGUGUGGUAUUGUGUCUGUGUGUGUCCUCGCCCUGUACAGUAAAUAGAGAAAUAAAAGAUGAGAGAGUGUUGUGAAGUUCUCCUCCUCUAGCCGCUCAGUCUGGAGUCUUGGCCAAAUUUCCGCUGUGGUGUAGGUGUGGUGCCUGUCUCUCGUUCUUUCACAGAGACACAGAGACAGCGGUGAAGUGGGAGUGCUGUCGCUUGCGGCGGGCAGGAGGCCAACGAUCUGCCACGCCAAACCGGGCACCUCCACAAGAGGACCCGAGGGGUCGGGAGGGUCAAAGGUCCCGUCACGGGGGCCCGCAGGAACAUCCCUAACUUCCUGUUUCUGGAGGUGGUGGGCGGCAGGAGGUGGACUGGAGGAGCGGUGAGGCAGCCGCAAACACAUUUACUGUGAGAAUGUCCAGGGGGGAAUGCGGAGCAGACAGCCAGGCGAAGACCACUGUCACGUAGCCAACUUUCACCAUCAAGGAGAGACCUUCCCGUCCACACGGCCCAUGCAAUAUUUGCCGAGUCGAGGAUAUUGAUGUACUGCUCAAUGGGGGGAGAAAUUGGCUUGAUGCAG